Long non-coding RNA from Tachysurus fulvidraco (yellow catfish), 630 nucleotides. RefSeq lists it as uncharacterized. The transcript has 3 exons. NCBI's taxonomy places the organism in Eukaryota, Metazoa, Chordata, Actinopteri, Siluriformes, Bagridae. The record is from RefSeq and is a predicted model, not a curated record.
CACCUUCAUGCUUCGCUUCUACUGAGAAAAAAAAAGUCUUCUGGUUAAGGAUGAGUGAAAGGAACAAGUGUCCUGUUCUUUGCUGCCCGGAGCUGUGGAUGCUUUUCUGUUCACUGCUGUUGUAAAGAAGCUGGAAACCAGGGGUCACUGGAGGUGCCGGGGUGGGCGAGAGGAGCUGGUGCGUCUCGUCUUAAAGGCUCGGAUUUAAUUACGAGGACGUCGCGGAGGAGGAAGAGCGCGAUAACAAGCAGGAUAACAAAUCCUGACAGCGCUGGACUAAAAGGACGACUAUUAUAAUCCUGUCAGCUGAUAAACGAGAACAUGAUUAGCUUAGCAGGUGAUUAUUAAAGACAGACAUGAUGUUAAUGGUUUCUUAUUGGGUUUUAAAGAUGUACUCAAAUAUUCUGUGCUUUAGUUCAAAGUGUAUCACGGAGUCUCCAUUAAGUGAACUGAACUAGUAAUACAUUAUCCUUUCACAGCUGCCAAAUGCAAAAAAAAAGAAAGAAAGAAAUAAUUGUCCAAAUUCCUACUGUGUACCUCUGUGAUGUUGUUUGUCAAGGUGCAAUUGACACUUUUCUUUUGGGGCAAUGGUAACCGCUCAAGAUCAGGGUUAAUGAUCUGGGUUCAAGC